AAGGAAAGCCCUUCCAACGGCCCUAACAAAGAUCGGAUGGCCCUUUUGUACCCUAGUGAGGAAGGAGACCCUAUGCAGACCUUCGGAUCCUUGAUGCCCUUCGAGAGGCAUCUGAGAUCCUUAAGGCCAUAGCAAAUCAGACCUUUUAGGGACCUCCGAAUCCUUGAUGCCCUUUGGGAUGCAUCUGAGAUUUUUGAGACUACAGUGGACCAGACCCUAUGAGGAUCUUCAAAUCAUUGAUACCCUUCGGGAGGCACCUGAGAUCCUCGAGACCACAACA
RNAcentral lists this long non-coding RNA (280 nucleotides) under Elaeis guineensis (African oil palm). RNAcentral's name for it is "long non-coding RNA (EGUI_LNC060076)". Lineage: Eukaryota; Viridiplantae; Streptophyta; Magnoliopsida; Arecales; Arecaceae. The record is from RNAcentral.